Small nucleolar RNA from Caenorhabditis elegans, 73 nucleotides. The record is from Ensembl. Lineage: Eukaryota; Metazoa; Nematoda; Chromadorea; Rhabditida; Rhabditidae.
AAAAAGUCAAUGAUGUUUUUUCAAGACGGGACCGACUGGUGAAUGAUGCAUAAAUGAAAUGCUGAGACUUUUU